UACGUCGACUAAAGUUCUAGGUAGAAUAAUGAUGAUGACAAUUUUUUACCUAUAUGUCUUGACCAAGUCUCGUGCCAGCAGUCGCGGUAAUACGUGGAAGACUAGUGUUAUUCAUCUUUWAUAGGUUUAAAGGGUACCUAGACGGUAUUUCUAGCCCAAAACAGGGUACGGAUUUACUAGAGUUUUAUGUGAGGAGGGGAGUACUCAUGGAGUAGAGAUGAAAUUUUGUGAUACUAUGAGGAAACUGGUGGCGGCGAAAGCAACCUUCUAUGUAUAAACUGACGUUGAGGGACGAAGGCUUGGGUAGCAAAUAGGAUUAGAUACCCUAGUAGUCCAAGCAGACAAUUCUGAAUGCCAUAGAUUAGAUUCUUUUUGGUCUAUAAAUGAAAGUGUAAGCAUUCCACCUUAGGAGUAAUGUGGCAACACAGGAACUGAAAUCAUUAGACCGUUUCUGAAACCAGUAGUGAAGUAUGUUGUUUAAUUUGACGGUCCACAAAAAACCUCACCACAACUUGAAUAUUAUUAAAUUAAUACMAGCGUUGCACGGCUGUCUUCAGUUAAUGUCGUGAGAUUUUGGUUAACUCCAUUAAUUAACGUAAACCCUUACUUUAUUUAUUUUUUUUUUAUAAAGUAGAUCGC
Molecule: ribosomal RNA, 639 nt
Filed under: Acarospora hospitans
Lineage: Eukaryota; Fungi; Ascomycota; Lecanoromycetes; Acarosporales; Acarosporaceae
Description: SSU rRNA
Source: RNAcentral